RNAcentral lists this ribosomal RNA (253 nucleotides) under uncultured bacterium. Its description in RNAcentral is "partial 16S ribosomal RNA". It matches the Rfam family "Bacterial small subunit ribosomal RNA", at positions 524 to 776 of the family's 1533-position model. The record is from RNAcentral.
UACGUAGGGACCAAGCGUUGUUCGGAUUUACUGGGCGUAAAGGGCGCGUAGGCGGCUUGACAAGUCACUUGUGAAAUCUCCGGGCUUAACUCGGAACGGCCAAGUGAAACUGUCAUGCUAGAGUGCAGAAGGGGCAAUCGGAAUUCUUGGUGUAGCGGUGAAAUGCGUAGAUAUCAAGAGGAACACCUGAGGUGAAGACGGGUUGCUGGGCUGAACCUGACGCUGAGAUGCGAAAGUGUGGGGAGCAAACGGG